UACAAUUACAGUACUCCAGGCACCGCGGAGCGGGCUUUGGCACUUUUUUAGACCCCCCACUUUUCUCAACGCUUCGCGCUGUCUGUGCUCUUCAAAUUUUUGCGACGCAACUGAAGGCAUAGCCAAGGGAGAAGAGAACAACGUGGCAAGAGCAUUCCAAAAAGGCACGAUAAAUUCUUCCCAUACAACAUAAGGACACUCAUCUGACUCAAGGGACCAAAAUUUCGUGCAGAAAUUCCUAACUUCAGAGCUCUUACUACUUUAUUAUUAACAAAGGCAUCAGAAGCAGCACAUAAAGGCUUGAAACUAGAAUGAAAAGAGGAGCCUUGAAACCCAGAUGUGAAUACCAUUCAUCGUGAAAGUAUUUCUGAUAUCAUCUCAUUCGCUUACAAUACUUUUUUGGGCUUGAAGACAAAUUCAUGCGUUUCAAAGACGAUCGUUCUCUGAGAAAAAGAUACAUCACGUAAGUAGUGGAAAUUUUGCGAAGAUUAAAAAUCCCUUCACAUCAGCUUUUAGCUGAAAUCGAAGUGGGUUAGUUUAGAAUUUAAUCUUAGAACUGUUUAUACGGUCCCUUUUUAUCUCUUUAUAACAUGCAUCUUACCUCUUUUCAGGAUAUUAUUCAGCGUGGUUGAAUUACCUAAUGACACACAUCAUGCCUUUUAUUUAACUGUCAGAAAGGGUGCAAAUUUAAAUAACUGUACUGUUUCUCGCGCCUAGGAAACUAUAGAUUGUAUGAUUUAAUUAGACUUCAUGUAUAUCGUAGUUUCUCAGUAUUUUAGAGACCUUCCCGCUGUUUCAUGUUUAACGGGCCUAAGUCUUCUAAUAGUAGCUCGUGUAGAUGGGCCUUUCUCAAAUGAUGUUUGAAUAAAGAAUUCCCAAGUUUAUUGUAAAUUAGGUUCAUAUG
Rhopilema esculentum is the source of this 904-nucleotide non-coding RNA. NCBI's taxonomy places the organism in Eukaryota, Metazoa, Cnidaria, Scyphozoa, Rhizostomeae, Rhizostomatidae. The record is from RefSeq and is a predicted model, not a curated record.